Molecule: ribosomal RNA, 258 nt
Filed under: uncultured bacterium
Lineage: Bacteria
Description: partial 16S ribosomal RNA
Rfam family: Bacterial small subunit ribosomal RNA
Source: RNAcentral
UACGGAGGGUGCGAGCGUUGUCCGGAAUCAUUGGGCGUAAAGGGCGCGUAGGUGGCCCGGUCAGUCUUUGGUGAAAGCGCGGGGCGUCAACCCUGCGUCGGCCAGGGAUACUGCCGCGGCUCGAGCACUGUAGAGGCAGGGCGGAAUUCCGGGGUGUAGCGGUGGAAUGCGUAGAGAUCCGGAAGAACACCGGUGGCGAAGGCGGCCUGCUGGGCAGUUAGCUGACACUGAGGCGCGACAGCGUGGGGAGCAAACAGG